GCCGGCAGCUAGCUCUCUGCAACUCUCACAUGGUCGCCCACUGAAGCAAAGCAGGACUGUGUCCGGUCAGUACCUGUAUGGGAGGCCACAUGGGAAAGCUAGAUUGCUGCUGAAA
This 115-nucleotide ribosomal RNA is filed under the name Danio rerio (zebrafish). Lineage: Eukaryota; Metazoa; Chordata; Actinopteri; Cypriniformes; Danionidae. The record is from RNAcentral.